RNAcentral lists this transfer RNA (72 nucleotides) under Verrucomicrobiaceae bacterium. Its description in RNAcentral is "tRNA-Ser". It matches the Rfam family "tRNA". Rfam says of the family: Transfer RNA (tRNA) molecules are approximately 80 nucleotides in length. The record is from RNAcentral. Lineage: Bacteria; Pseudomonadati; Verrucomicrobiota; Verrucomicrobiia; Verrucomicrobiales; Verrucomicrobiaceae.
UCCAGGGUAGCUCAACGCCAGAGCGCUCGGCUGCUUACCGAGAGGGAGCUGGUUCAACUCCAGCCCCUGGAU